Molecule: ribosomal RNA, 450 nt
Filed under: uncultured bacterium
Lineage: Bacteria
Description: partial 16S ribosomal RNA
Rfam family: Bacterial small subunit ribosomal RNA
Source: RNAcentral
CCUACGGGUGGCUGCAGUAAGGAAUAUUGGUCAAUGGAGGAAACUCUGAACCAGCCAUCCCGCGUGAAGGAUGAAGGGGCUCUGCCUUGUAAACUUCUUUUGUCUGGGGCGAAAAAGCUCGAUUUAUCGAGAACUGACGGUACCAGAAGAAUAAGCACCGGCUCACUCCGUGCCAGCAGCCGCGGUAAUACGGAGGGUGCAGGCGUUAUCCGGAUUCACUGGGGCGUAGGCGUGCGUGUGAGGCAGAGUUGAAGGGCUGUGGCUUAACCAUGGAAGUGCCAUUGAUACUGCAGAGCUUGAAUGAGGUUGAGGUUGGCGGAAUGUGACAUGUAGCGGUGAAAUGCUUAGAUAUGUCAUGGAACACCGAUUGCGAAGGCAGCUGACUGGACCUAUAUUGACGCUGAGGCACGAAAGCGUGGGGAGCGAACAGGAUUAGAUACCCGGGUAGUC